UAUGGCCAUAUCAUUUUGAAACACCAGUUCCCAUAUGAUCACCAGUUAAGCAACAUCAAGCCUAGUCAGUACCAAGAUUGGUCACCAACUGGGAAUACCAGGUGCU
Molecule: non-coding RNA, 106 nt
Organism: Acanthosepion pharaonis
Lineage: Eukaryota; Metazoa; Mollusca; Cephalopoda; Sepiida; Sepiidae
Source: the annotation of a GenBank genome assembly